UGACGAGCGGCGGACGGGUGAGUAAUGUCUGGGAAACUGCCUGAUGGAGGGGGAUAACUACUGGAAACGGUAGCUAAUACCGCAUAAUGUCGCAAGACCAAAGUGGGGGACCUUCGGGCCUCAUGCCAUCAGAUGUGCCCAGAUGGGAUUAGCUAGUAGGUGGGGUAACGGCUCACCUAGGCGACGAUCCCUAGCUGGUCUGAGAGGAUGACCAGCCACACUGGAACUGAGACACGGUCCAGACUCCUACGGGAGGCAGCAGUGGGGAAUAUUGCACAAUGGGCGCAAGCCUGAUGCAGCCAUGCCGCGUGUGUGAAGAAGGCCUUCGGGUUGUAAAGCA
Molecule: ribosomal RNA, 340 nt
Filed under: Klebsiella pneumoniae
Lineage: Bacteria; Pseudomonadati; Pseudomonadota; Gammaproteobacteria; Enterobacterales; Enterobacteriaceae
Description: bacterial SSU rRNA
Rfam family: Bacterial small subunit ribosomal RNA
Source: RNAcentral